AGGACUAACGCUGGCGGCGUGCCUAACACAUGCAAGUCGAACGCGCUCCAUUCGGUAGCAAUACUGAUGAAGAGCGAGUGGCGAACGGGUGAGUAGCACGUGAGCAACCUGCCCCGAAGACCGGGACAACACCGGGAAACCGGUGCUAAUACCGGAUAUCCCUAUCGGACCGCAUGAUCUGAUAAGGAAAUGGAUUCCGCUUCGGGAGGGGCUCGCGGCCUAUCAGCUAGUUGGUGAGGUAACGGCCCACCAAGGCAUCGACGGGUAGCUGGUCUGAGAGGACGAUCAGCCACACUGGGACUGAGACACGGCCCAGACUCCUACGGGAGGCAGCAGUGGGGAAUCUUGCGCAAUGGGCGAAAGCCUGACGCAGCAACGCCGCGUGGAGGACGAAGGCUUUCUGAGUUGUAAACUCCUUUCAGCAGGGACGAUAGUGACGGUACCUGCAGAGAAGCACCGGCCAACUACGUGCCAGCAGCCGCGGUAA
This 487-nucleotide ribosomal RNA is filed under the name uncultured bacterium. Its description in RNAcentral is "SSU rRNA". It matches the Rfam family "Bacterial small subunit ribosomal RNA", at positions 26 to 523 of the family's 1533-position model. The record is from RNAcentral.